UUUCUUUUCCUUUUCCUCGCUCUAUCUCUUUGAUGGGUGUCGCACCCCAUUGUUGACUCUCUAGCAAGUGUACCAGAUCGUUUCAAGUAAUAUAAUCGGUAAAACCCAAUAUCGUUCUUCCCAAGAGACUCGAAAGGCCUUAUCGUUCAUGUAAGUUGAAAUCGUAAGACUUGUAAAGAAAAUUAAUUGGUGGGAAUGCAAAAACACAAAAUAAACAUGCAAAUGCGGUUGAUUCAAUUGAUAAUAAAAAGACUAUGGAUGAAUGGAGUUGUUGGGGGUUUACAAUUUCAUCUUAUCCGCUCUCUCUUAUCUACUCCUCUUGUUUAAUUUGCUUUGUUAUCUAAUUGUCAUGCAAACUUUCUUGGCCUACCCUUAACCCGAUCCCUCGAUGAAAAGAGCCUAUUACUAAGGUUUAAACCCUCAUUUGGUCCUCAUAUUUGUGUGUCAAUCUCAAUUUGGUCAUCGUAUUUUUUUUUGUCUCAAUCGGGUCCUAUAAUUUGUAAAAAUGAGGCAAUUAAGCCCUCUC
RNAcentral lists this long non-coding RNA (526 nucleotides) under Vigna radiata. Its description in RNAcentral is "long non-coding RNA (VRAD_LNC014919)". Lineage: Eukaryota; Viridiplantae; Streptophyta; Magnoliopsida; Fabales; Fabaceae. The record is from RNAcentral.